CUCUUCUCUUUUCCUCUCUCCCCCUUCCUUCGACACAGUACAGGGCUAAUCGUACCUUCUAAGAGGCACAGACAAGAGAGAGCCGUAGCCCGGCCUGUCGCCGCGGUGGUCUUUCGUGUGGGCGGUGUGGGUUUAGAGGUACCUAAUGGCCUGUACCGUAGGCUUAAUUAAACGCUCUUUGCCACCUAGAUAGGUGGGCUUAACUAAUCAGCGGAGCAGAGCGGGAAGUGCGUCGUCGUCGUCGUCUGUCGGCCGGCGCGCGUAGGCGGUACCUACAAGACCCGCCGCUAGCUAAUCGUUGUUCUCCUAAGACCGACUUAACCUUGUGUCUCCUUGACUUCUAUUAACGUGUUAAGACCAUGACCGAUAGUAUUAAUUAAUUAAUUAAAUGGUCCUAGAGAGACUUAAAAGAAUGUUGGAAGAAGGCGGGAAUUGGUGAAGGCGGGUCAUUAAUUGUUGGAUGGAAUAAUAUGUCGAACGUACUCUUAAAGUGUCUCGGUACCGUCUUCCUUCGUGCGUAUGAUGAUGUUUCUUGUUGUGGAAUAAAUACAUAUACUACUCUGACUGAGUAUUAAAUGGUACCGGUGCUUGGGUCCUCUCCUCUCCUCUUCUCCUUCUUCGUUCGCCUGACCCUCUUAAGAGGUCCUCUAGUUAGCCGGCUUGGCCCUGCCCGUACCCGCAGCUGGUCUAGCGUCGUAGUGGUAGUGCUGCGGGCCUAGGCGAAGAGCCGCCAGUGCCCGUACCCGUAGCUGGCCUUGUGCCACCUCUCCAGGGCGCCCUGCCGCUCCGUGUGGGCGCGGCAGCAGCAGCGGCAGUCGCAGCCGGCGCUGAAGGCGAAGUCGCGGCCUUCGGCCCCGUGGCCGCCGAACGCGCCGCGGCGACCCGUGAGGAGCCCGUCGUCCUAGGACGUGAGGAAGCUGCAGCCGCAGCUGCCCAGGAAGAGGAGGCGGCGGCGACACCGGAGGCAGAACGGGAGGCGACGGCGGCUGAGGACGCACCUGCUGCGGCCGCUGCCGCUCCGGCUCCGUCGCAGCCUCCCCCGGUUUCCGCGGCAGAACUAGCCGCCGUCGCUGCCGUCCCUGAGCAGCCGCCUCCUCCGGUAACGACAGCCGGCCUAGCCGCCACUUUAAGCGCCGCGCUCACCCACACCUUCCUUACCCUAGCUUAAGAACAAGAGACCACCCACGUCCUCCACCCAGUUUUUUUCUUCGCUCCUUUCUCUCUCCAACCCCGACAUCCGGACAUCGCGGUUCCCCAAUUUA
This 1262-nucleotide ribosomal RNA is filed under the name Triticum aestivum (bread wheat). Its description in RNAcentral is "partial small subunit ribosomal RNA". The record is from RNAcentral. Lineage: Eukaryota; Viridiplantae; Streptophyta; Magnoliopsida; Poales; Poaceae.